RNAcentral lists this ribosomal RNA (1327 nucleotides) under Scatella tenuicosta. Its description in RNAcentral is "16S ribosomal RNA". The stretch from base 1072 to 1231 matches the Rfam family "Archaeal large subunit ribosomal RNA", at positions 2544 to 2703 of the family's 2987-position model. The record is from RNAcentral. Lineage: Eukaryota; Metazoa; Arthropoda; Insecta; Diptera; Ephydridae.
UUAAUUUAUAUUUAUUAAUUUUUAUUUUGUAAAAAUUGAUUUAUUAAAAAUAAUUAUAAAAUUAUUUGUUUUAGUAAUUUUUAAAUAAAAAAUAAAUUUAAUAAUAGUUAAAUAGUAUUGUGAAAGAAAAUUGAAAUAAUAUGAAAAAUUAAUAUAAUAUAAGAAAAUUUAAUUUAUUGUACCUUGUGUAUCAGGGUUUAUCAAAUAAAAAAUAAUUAUUUUAUUUUUCUCGAUUUUAAAAGAUUUAAUAUAUUAAUAAAGUUAAUGUGAUAAAAUUAUUUUUAAUAAUAUAUUAGAAAUGAAAUGUUAUUCGUUUUUAAAGGUAUCUAGUUUUUUAAGAAAUAAAUUUAAUUUAUUAAUAGUAAAUUUAUUUAAUUAUUUAUUUAAUUAAAUAAUUUAUUAUUAAAAUAUUUUAUGGGAUAAGCUGUAAAAUAAAGUUUUAAAAAUAAAAUAAUAAUUUAAAAAUAUAUGCUUAUAAUUAGCAAUUAUUAAUAAGUUUGUUAUAAAUUAUUUAGUUUAUAAUUUAUUAUUUAUUUAUAUUUUAAAUUUUUAUUAAAAUAUUUAUUAUAAUAUAAAAAAUAAAGAAAAAAUGAUAAAAUUAGUAUAUUUUAUUGUAUAAAUAAUUUUAAUUGUCAAGUUAAUUUAAAGAAUUCGGCAAAUGAAUAUUCGCCUGUUUAACAAAAACAUGUCUUUUUGAAAUAAAUUUAAAGUCUAACCUGCCCACUGAAAUUUUAAAUGGCCGCAGUAUUUUGACUGUGCAAAGGUAGCAUAAUCAUUAGUCUUUUAAUUGAAGGCUUGUAUGAAUGGUUGGACGAAAUAUUAACUGUUUCAAAUUAAAUUUUUAUAGAAUUUUAUUUUUUAGUCAAAAAGCUAAAAUUUAAUUAAAAGACGAGAAGACCCUAUAAAUCUUUAUAAUUUUAUAAUAUUAAUUUUAUAGAUUAUUUUUAUUAUUAUUAGAAAAAUUAUUUUAUUGGGGUGAUAUUAAAAUUUAAAAAACUUUUAAUUUUAUUAAUCAUUAAUUUAUGAAUAAAUGAUCCUAUAUUAUGGAUUAAUAGAAUAAGUUACUUUAGGGAUAACAGCGUAAUUUUUUUGGAGAGUUCAUAUCGAUAAAAAAGAUUGCGACCUCGAUGUUGGAUUAAGAUAUAAUUUUAGGUGCAGAAGCUUAAAUUUUGAGUCUGUUCGACUUUUAAAUUCUUACAUGAUCUGAGUUCAAACCGGCGUAAGCCAGGUUGGUUUCUAUCUUUAAUAAAUUAAAAUAUUUUAGUACGAAAGGACCAAAUAUUUGAAUAAUUAUAUUUUAUUUUAUGAAUAUAAAUAAUUUUUGUUA